GUGGGGGUGGAGAUCAAGUCGGACGGUAUUGCCCUUAGUCGACCUUGGAGUCGGGUUGUUUGUGAAUGCAGCCCAAAGCGGGUGGUAAACUCCAUCCAAGGCUAAAUACUAGCACGAGUCCGAUAGCGAACAAGUACCGUGAGGGAAAGUUGAAAAGUACUUUGAAGAGAGAGUAAACAGUGCGUGAAACCGCUCAGAGGUAAACGGGUGGAGUUGAACUGUAAGCUCCGGGAAUUCAGCUGGUGAGUGUGUCAUGGGCUUGGUCAUUUUCGGCCGGCCUCUGGAGUCCGCUUAGCUGCGGGUCCUUGCUUCUUCGGGAGUAGGGAUGUGCGUUGCGCUUGUCAAGUGCUGUGCGCUCUGGAGGUUGCCGGGCUGGCUCGCCGGUGCACUUUCUCGGAGUGGUCACCACGACCGGCGUUGUUGUCUUGCUGCUGUGGUCGAACCGGCUGGGUUUGGUCCUUGUGGCUGAACUUGGUCGGGAUGGCAGGUAGCUCAUUGGUUGGCUUGUCCAGUCUUUGGGUGUAAUCAGCUGUCUGCAGUGGUAUUGUGCAAUGCGUCGGAGACUGCGGCUUUAGGUAUUUGCUUUCGUGCCGUUGGCUGGCAGUGUUGGGUUUGACUGGCGUGUUACCUGCUUCGGUGGGUCCGUCGGUAGCUCAGUGCUGUUCGGUUAGCGGUUGCUUAAGUGAUAUCGUACAUGGGCCCAUAGUCUGUGGUGUAGCAGCAAACGAUCCACCUGACCCGUCUUGAAACACGGACCAAGGAGUUUAACAUGUGCGCGAGUCAUUGGGCGUUACGAAACCCAAAGGCGCAGUGAAAGUAAAGGUUCGGCUUGUCCGAGCUGAGGUGAGAUCCUGUAGCUUCUCGUGCGAGGUACCACCAAGCAGUGAGCUAUGGGCGCAUCACCAGCCCGUCUCAUGGUGUGGUCAUGUAGCCUUGUGUUGCGUGCAUCACCGGGGCGGAGCCUGAGCGCACACGUUGAGACCCGAAAGAUGGUGAACUAUGCUUGCGCAGGUUGAAGCCAGAGGAAACUCUGGUGGAGGACCGCAGCGAUUCUGACGUG
This 1060-nucleotide ribosomal RNA is filed under the name Apharyngostrigea pipientis. RNAcentral's name for it is "eukaryotic LSU rRNA". It matches the Rfam family "Eukaryotic large subunit ribosomal RNA", at positions 206 to 893 of the family's 3401-position model. The record is from RNAcentral. Lineage: Eukaryota; Metazoa; Platyhelminthes; Trematoda; Diplostomida; Strigeidae.